Molecule: ribosomal RNA, 499 nt
Filed under: uncultured bacterium
Lineage: Bacteria
Description: partial 16S ribosomal RNA
Rfam family: Bacterial small subunit ribosomal RNA
Source: RNAcentral
ACUCAAAGGAAUUGACGGGGGCCCGCACAAGCGGUGGAGCAUGUGGUUUAAUUCGAUGCAACGCGAAGAACCUUACCUACCCUUGACAUACUGAGAAUCCUGCAGAGAUGUGGGAGUGCCGAAAGGAGCUCAGAUACAGGUGCUGCAUGGCUGUCGUCAGCUCGUGUCGUGAGAUGUUGGGUUAAGUCCCGUAACGAGCGCAACCCCUAUUCUUAAUUGCUACCAGGUAAUGCUGGGCACUCUAAGGAGACUGCUGGUGACAAACCAGAGGAAGGCGGGGACGACGUCAAGUCAUCAUGGCCCUUACGGGUAGGGCUACACACGUGCUACAAUGGGCGAUACAGAGGGUCGCGAAGUCGCGAGACGGAGCUAAUCUCACAAAGUCGCUCGUAGUCCGGAUUGCAGUCUGAAACUCGACUGCAUGAAGCUGGAAUCGCUAGUAAUCGCAAAUCAGAAUGUUGCGGUGAAUACGUUCCCGGGCCUUGCACACACCGCCCGU